CACCGCGGUUAUACGAGAGGCCCAAGUUGACAGACCACGGCGUAAAGAGUGGUCAGGGAAACUUUUAAACUAAAGCCGAACAUCCUCACAGCAGUCCAAAGCUUCCGAGUUAAGAAGUCCAACCACGAAAGUAGCUUUAAACAACCUGACUCCACGAAAGCUGAGGCA
This 168-nucleotide ribosomal RNA is filed under the name Neopomacentrus taeniurus (freshwater demoiselle). RNAcentral describes it as "partial 12S rRNA". The record is from RNAcentral. Lineage: Eukaryota; Metazoa; Chordata; Actinopteri; Pomacentridae.